This is a long non-coding RNA of Homarus americanus (American lobster), 191 nucleotides long. RefSeq lists it as uncharacterized. The transcript has 2 exons. Lineage: Eukaryota; Metazoa; Arthropoda; Malacostraca; Decapoda; Nephropidae. The record is from RefSeq and is a predicted model, not a curated record.
GUGUGUGUGUGUGUGUGUGUGUGUGUGUGUGUGUGUGUGUGUGUGUGUGUGUGUGUGUGUGUGUGUGUGUGUAGAUGUAUUACUGUAUACGUAAGAGUAAAAAAAUAAGAUACAUUGAAUAAAUUUUAAGUUUUGAAAUAUUUUCUUACAAAUUGUUGAGUUAUAAAGUAUCAACUAAGCGAGGGCAUUGU